CAAUGAAAUAGAUGAAGUUCUUAAAUAUUACCCACAAGGACAUCAUGGAGUUGAUAAGGAUGGAAGACCUGUUUACAUUGAAAAAUUGGGCCAGGUUGACUCUAACAAGCUGUUGCAAGUAACGAGUAUGGAACGUUAUCUCAAGUACCAUGUUAGGGAGUUUGAGAGGACAUUCAAUGUUAAGUUGCCUGCAUGUUCAAUCGCUGCAAAGAAACACAUUGACCAAAGCACAACUAUUUUGGAUGUGCAAGGAGUGGUAUGUAUAAAAUUUGACUCCUACUUUUCCUCUCCAAUCCCUAUGCCCACAGAAAAACCAAUCAGACUAAUGAACUAUUGUAACACCUUAAAUUAUAGUCAUCAUAAUUUUAAUGAGGCAUUUUAAUACCAUAUCCAUCGUUAUGUAUGCUUUUAAUAUGUAAACAAGUUUCAUAUCAAUGCUUUCCCAGGGUCUUAAAAGUAUGAACAAAACUGCAAGGGAUCUCCUCCAGCGACUUCAGAAGAUUGAUGGUGACAACUAUCCUGAGGUACAGGUUUAUAUAACUGCAUAUGCAUGUAAUAUCAAUGGUUUUUGUUCCCUCCCUAUAUCUAGCUUAAAUGGCCUUCUGAACUUGCCCUAACUGAACUUUCCUUUCUAUGCAGUCGCUUAACCGCAUGUUCAUCAUCAAUGCUGGCUCUGGAUUUAGGCUCUUGUGGAAUACUAUUAAGUCAUUCCUUGAUCCCAAGACCACCUCAAAAAUCCAUGUAAGCAAUUAUAAUCUACUUAUCAAUUUAAAUGAAGUUUGAUUUCAGUUAUGUUGGGACAAUGAACAAAUUAGUGAUUUAAUAACCAGGUCCUGGGUAACAAAUACCAGAGCAAGUUGCUUGAAAUCAUUGAUGCCAGGUUGAACUUUUCUCCUUUCCGCUUGAAUUAUUUUACCACAUACACAUCUACAUAGAAAAUUAGGCUAUCAAUUCUAAGGUCACGCUGUGAAAUAAUGUAGAAUUGAGUAAUGUGAACUCUUUUAUGUUGUUCCAAUAUGAAAAUAUAUAACAUUACUCAACUAUGUAAGUAAUACCUAAUAUUUCUUUCUUAUUUAUCAGUGAACUUCCAGAGUUCUUGGGUGGUACUUGCACUUGUGCAGAUAAAGGUGGUUGUAUGCUUUCUAACAAGGGACCAUGGGAUGACCCAGAGAUCUUGAAGGUAGUUUAUUGCUGAAAGAUCAAUUUCUUUAGUCAUCUAAUAUAUCAAUGGAAAAACAAUGAACUAAUAAAUAAUUCCUCUGAAUCAUUUAGAUGGUUCAAAAUGGCAAGGGAAAAGCCAAAAGAAAAAGCUUAUCCGAGCUUAACGAAAAAACAAUCACAGAAGAUGAAACAGCACACCAAAAGGUAGUCCAUUUCAUACUUUGGACAUUUCAUGAAAGUGAACAUUCUGAGGAUGAAAAGAAGAAAAGGAUGGGGUCAUUUAAGAAGGCGGCUAUCAGUGCCUCGAGUAAGUUCAAGCAUUCCUUUGCAAAGAGGGGGCGCAAACACAGCAGGGUUAUGUCUAUUUCUAUUGAGGAUGAAAUCGAUACAGAAGAGCUCAUGGCGGUUGAUGCUUUUCGCCAAGUGCUUAUCUUGGAAGAGCUAUUGCCCUCAAAACAUGAUGAUCAUCAUAUGAUGCUAAGGUAGGUGCUUGUCACAUGGUUUCUUACUCAUUCAUUUAUUUAUGGGGAAUGCUAAUCAGUGCUUUAGAAAAACUUGAUUUUUAAUGGACUUAAUAGAUUCAGAAGUGGUUUAUUUUGUCUACUGAUAAAAACUUGUAUUCAUGAUUCCUUAGCCGGUGCCCUCGGAGUUAAGGGAUUUGGGUAGCAAGAUCCUUUAUUUACUUAUAGUUGUAGCAUGACUAGCUUCAUUUGAUGCCUUAAUUGAGAAUUUCUAAUUGUCCUAUAAUUUCAAUGUACUAUGACCCAGAUUCUUGAAAGCUAGGAAGUUUGACAUUGAGAAAACAAAACAAAUGUGGUCAGAUAUGCUGAAGUGGAGGAAUGAAUUUGGUGCUGAUACUAUCAUGGAGGUAUUGCUGUGGCAAAAAGAAGAGUCACUUUUCAUGUUAUGUUCUUCUGUAUAACUUCUUCCUUAAAUUUCUAACCAAACAUUUUUGUGUUGUUAAGGAUUUUGAAUUCAAUGAAAUAGAUGAAGUUCUUAAAUAUUACCCACAAGGACAUCAUGGAGUUGAUAAGGAUGGAAGACCUGUUUACAUUGAAAAAUUGGGCCAGGUUGACUCUAACAAGCUGUUGCAAGUAACGAGUAUGGAACGUUAUCUCAAGUACCAUGUUAGGGAGUUUGAGAGGACAUUCAAUGUUAAGUUGCCUGCAUGUUCAAUCGCUGCAAAGAAACACAUUGACCAAAGCACAACUAUUUUGGAUGUGCAAGGAGUG
Molecule: long non-coding RNA, 2393 nt
Filed under: Lupinus angustifolius (narrow-leaved blue lupine)
Lineage: Eukaryota; Viridiplantae; Streptophyta; Magnoliopsida; Fabales; Fabaceae
Description: long non-coding RNA (LANG_LNC002374)
Source: RNAcentral